Molecule: long non-coding RNA, 632 nt
Filed under: Equus asinus (donkey)
Lineage: Eukaryota; Metazoa; Chordata; Mammalia; Perissodactyla; Equidae
Description: lncRNA (ENSEASG00005009574.2)
Source: RNAcentral
UUAGAAGUUGGGAGAAAUGACUAGUCAUGUAUAUCAAUUCUUAGUUUAAAAAAGAAGUUAAAGUAACUAAAAAAAUAUGUGAUUUAAAAGGACAAGAAAGAAAAAGUGAGAAAAGGGAGGAAGUGUUGAAAAAGAAGCUAAAGCCAGAAUGUACGAUUACUCAAGGUGAGCCACAGUUUGGCUCUGAGAUGUGGAACAGCCAGAGCAAGCAUGAGAACUGCGUGGUUUGCAAUGAUCCCAAGAUUAAAAAUAAGCCAAACGGUCAGAAAUCUCCUUCCUUAGAGAAAGCUUUGACAGCCCACGGUCCAACCUGCAUUCACCAUGCGGGGCCUCUGCUUCGUGCUCCUGACCUGCUUCAUCUUCUUUGCUUACUUUGCCACAGCCCAGGUCAUGGAGAUAGACUCAGAAGAGGAGUGCAAGCAGGUUGGUGCCCAGUGUAAAUGGUUUUCUUGCCCAGAUGAUCAUGCACGUCUUGGUACCUGUUGGUUUGGGAUAAAGAAAUGCUGUCGGUAGCUGGGAUGAGCUGAAGAACACAGAGGACAAGGAGCCCAGAGACUGAAAUAAAGGGCUGACUAUAACUCUGAAAGUGCUGUGGCAUUAUUUCCUGAAAAUAAAUAAUUGCCUGUGCUGUG